RNAcentral lists this transfer RNA (85 nucleotides) under Archangium lansingense. RNAcentral describes it as "tRNA-Tyr". It matches the Rfam family "tRNA". Rfam says of the family: Transfer RNA (tRNA) molecules are approximately 80 nucleotides in length. Their secondary structure includes four short double-helical elements and three loops (D, anti-codon, and T loops). The record is from RNAcentral. Lineage: Bacteria; Pseudomonadati; Myxococcota; Myxococcia; Myxococcales; Archangiaceae. RNAcentral also lists the same sequence under 1 other name.
GGGGACGUAGAGCGUUACGGAGACGCGUCGGCCUGUAGAGCCGAAGCCCGACAGGGCCCUCUGGGUUCGACUCCCAGCGUCCCCA